Long non-coding RNA from Xiphophorus hellerii (green swordtail), 459 nucleotides. RefSeq lists it as uncharacterized. The record is from RefSeq and is a predicted model, not a curated record. The transcript has 3 exons. NCBI's taxonomy places the organism in Eukaryota, Metazoa, Chordata, Actinopteri, Cyprinodontiformes, Poeciliidae.
GUUUAGCGCCUGGAUGGUGUGAUGCAUAGACAUAAUAUAAGGGUAGACGCCGCAUUGGCCGCUCCGGCGCAGGAAAUACGGCGGCCAUCUUAGAGCGGUAUACCCUCGUACUUUGCUGAACCAAAACAACAGAAGAUGCCUCAGUUCUGCUCGGCUUAUUCGUGUUUAAAUCUACGAACUGUUGAUGUCAGGGACCGGGGGAUAACUUUUCACAAGUUUCCAAAAGAUAAAGAGAGGAGGAAGAGGUGGGAAAUAGCUUUGAGGAGGGAUGGAUUCACUGCAAGUGAUUCAUCUGUACUAUGCAGUGAGCAUUUCAAAACGGAGGAUUUUGACAAAACAGGUCAGAUUGUCAGACUGAGAGCUGAUGUGAUACCAUGAAUUUUCAGCUUCCCAGUUCACCUUCAAAGAGUUGAAAACUACAGAACUACAAUAACCUCCACAAAAGCCCAAAGUAGUUCU